Cicer arietinum (chickpea) is the source of this 497-nucleotide non-coding RNA. The record is from RefSeq and is a predicted model, not a curated record. Lineage: Eukaryota; Viridiplantae; Streptophyta; Magnoliopsida; Fabales; Fabaceae.
UUGCAAACCCUAGUGCCUCCAUUUUUCGUUCUCACCGUUCUCCUUCAUCCUCCAUUCACUUUCUCCUUCAUCUCGAUCAUCUUUAAGGCCUCAAUAAACACCAUCUCCCGUUCCAUUAGCAUCUCCAUCUUCGCAACCUUCAAUGUCCCCAGUAAACGCCAGUUAUGUGGUAGUGAUAGCACCAAAAUAUCAAUAGUAGCACGAACCCUAAUCAACUUCCACCGUUUUGCAUUUUGCCUCUCUGUUUUUUUCCCAAAUCGCAUGAACCCUAAUCAGCUGCCAUGGUUUCUCAUUUCUUAAUUUAUUUUCUUUUUCAAAUUGCAGGAACCCUAACCUACAUCUGGUGAGUCCUAAGCACACUUUCAGUCAUGGAUAUGGAUGCAACAAGCAAUGCACCCUGAAUUGAAUUACAAUAGCAGUUUAAGGAAAAAAUGGGUAAGUAAUCUUUAAUAUUACAGUUGAAUUAUAGUUGUGCAGUUAGCAGUUUAAGAAAAAAA